Musa acuminata AAA Group (dessert banana) is the source of this 429-nucleotide long non-coding RNA. RefSeq lists it as uncharacterized. The transcript has 2 exons. Lineage: Eukaryota; Viridiplantae; Streptophyta; Magnoliopsida; Zingiberales; Musaceae. The record is from RefSeq and is a predicted model, not a curated record.
CGACGACCACCACGUUGGCGGCGGCCAUCGAGAUCGCCCACACCGACUUCGCCUUGGCAACCCAAAGCUUCAAGAGCCGGAAAGAGUACUCCCACGAGGCUACUACCCCACCCGUCGUCUCCUCUUCGCUCGGUUUGAGAAGAGUGCCUGUUUGACUUCCACCAUCUUCUCUGAUUUCCGCAUAAUAUCAACCUCACCAGGAUGAUGUUGAGAUGCAUGGUCGAUGAUGAACGAAGGUAAUUUGUAGCAAACUCUAUUUUCAAUGCGCUCGGCAUAAUUUAUGAUUCUAAAAGAACAUUUCUUCUUUUGGUCGAUGAGAGAAAAUGGGAAGCUCCCUUUCUAUUUUGCUCCUGUGAGAAACAGCACAUAGGUCAUGUUAUUAAAAGAAAAUUCAAGAAAAUUUAGGAAAAAAAGAACAAUUUAAGAACA